Molecule: ribosomal RNA, 629 nt
Filed under: uncultured candidate division SR1 bacterium
Lineage: Bacteria; Candidatus Absconditibacteriota
Description: bacterial SSU rRNA
Rfam family: Bacterial small subunit ribosomal RNA
Source: RNAcentral
GAAGACGAAUGACGGUACACCAAGAAUAAGAGACGGCUAACUACGUGCCAGCAGCCGCGGUAAUACGUAGGUCUCAAGCGUUAUCCGGAUUUACUGGGCGUAAAGUAUCCGUAGCCUGAUAUGUAAGUCUGUUUUCAAAUCCCACGACUCAAUCGUGGAAAGGGAAUGGAUACUGCAUAUCUAGAAGUUAUUGGGGGUUAGUGGAAUCUCCGGUGGAGCGGUGAAAUGCGUUGAUAUCGGAAAGAACGCCGAAAGCGAAAGCAGCUAACUAUGAUUAACUUGACGGUGAGGGAUGAAAGUUUGGGUAGCAAACGGGAUUAGAUACCCCGGUAGUCCAAACUGUAAAUUAUGCUUGCUAGGUGUUUCGAUCCUUGUGGUCGGAGUGCCGUAAUCUAACGAGUUAAGCAAGUCGCCUGGGUAGUAUAUUCGCAAGAAUGAAACUCAAAGGGAUAGGCGGGGGAACACACAAGCAGUGGAUUAUCUAGAUUAAUUGGAUAAUAAGCCAAGAAUCUUACCUAGAAUUGACAUGCAUUGUGUCUCAUAUGAAAGUAUGAUAUUUGUAGCAAUACAGAGCUUUGCACAGGUGGUGCAUGGUCGUCGUCAGCUCGUGCCGCAAGGUGUCCGGUUAA